RNAcentral lists this ribosomal RNA (484 nucleotides) under uncultured bacterium. Its description in RNAcentral is "partial 16S ribosomal RNA". It matches the Rfam family "Bacterial small subunit ribosomal RNA", at positions 30 to 507 of the family's 1533-position model. The record is from RNAcentral.
AUUGAACGCUGGCGGAAUGCUUUACACAUGCAAGUCGAGCGGCAGCACGGGGGUAACCCUGGUGGCGAGCGGCGAACGGGUGAGUAAUACAUCGGAACAUGCCCAGUCGUGGGGGAUAACACUUCGAAAGAAGUGCUAAUACCGCAUACGUCCUGAGGGAGAAAGCGGGGGAUCGCAAGACCUCGCGCGAUUGGAGUGGCCGAUGUCAGAUUAGCUAGUUGGUGGGGUAAAGGCCUACCAAGGCAACGAUCUGUAGCUGGUCUGAGAGGAUGAUCAGCCACACUGGGACUGAGACACGGCCCAGACUCCUACGGGAGGCAGCAGUGGGGAAUUUUGGACAAUGGGGGCAACCCUGAUCCAGCCAUUCCGCGUGAGUGAAGAAGGCCUUCGGGUUGUAAAGCUCUUUCGGCAGGAACGAAACGGUGAGCUCUAACAUAGCUUGCUAAUGACGGUACCUGAAGAAGAAGCACCGACUAACUACGUG